Long non-coding RNA from Labeo rohita (rohu), 1582 nucleotides. RefSeq lists it as uncharacterized. The record is from RefSeq and is a predicted model, not a curated record. The transcript has 7 exons. Lineage: Eukaryota; Metazoa; Chordata; Actinopteri; Cypriniformes; Cyprinidae.
UAGUUCCCAUAACUAAUGAAAUUUAAGUAAAAUUACUCAAAAUGUCCAAGACAUGCUGUUACGCAUGCGCACUGGGCGACAAUUGCCCCUCCCCCACGUCGCAGAAGCACAACGGCUGAAGACUCAACGUGUGUUUGCAGAGGAUCUAUUUCGGUAAAAUCAAGGUAAAAGCUUUUAAUUUAAGUCUCAUUUUUUGCUUGCUAGUCCUUAUGAUGGUUAGAUUUUAUGCACUUUGUUGCAUGUUGUUUUGUGGAACAUCUUAGCCCAUUCAAAGAACUCAAACACGGUUGACCCUGCACAUUAUUUGAAGCGAUUUCUGUUCAAACCACUUAACUUAAUGUCCACUUCAUAUCUGUAAAAUUAGCUGCCUGGUUGUCUAUUAAUUACUAUGUUAUCCAUUCGUGCUAGUGAUAAGUUACGAGAAUAGGAGUAAUUUGAACGACGGUUGUUUCAUGUGACGUUUUGCAGAAUUCAAAAUUCAGUGAGAAGUAAACAAAACACUUCAAACGAGGAGAUCGUUUUUAAUUUCGUAAACGCUUAGCAUAUGCUGUAGGAUAUUUUAUUCUGGACGCGGUACAUUCGAAUGAGGAGCUCAGAGACACGGCCGCAUUCACGCUAGAGAGCGCGCAAUCCGGUCAGUGUACAAACGGAUGGAAAAGAACGCUACAUCUUCAGACGGGUUCUUUUAAAAUAACUCUUUUUAACUUGACACGGCGAUUUUGAAAGCAACUAUGAGUGCUAAACUGUAGUCAAGCCGUAGCAUUAUUUGUUAGAAAUACCUGGUUGCGACGAAAAUAGUAUGCGUGCUUAGUAUGAUAAUUACGGUAAUGUGCAGGCAGUAACAAACAACACGCAUUCUGAGAUUGUCAACGAGUCUUUAGCAGACCCAUCACCCCCACCUCCUCAAGCAGAGUAUAUAUAACAUUGAAACUUAUUUAAAUAAUACCAGCUGAUGACUGCUGUGCAGUGGAAAUAUCGAUCAUCUUGAUAAAACCUCAGUAUAUCAUCAGGAGCAACAGGCCACAUUUUCAGCUAAAAAUCUUCUUUGCUGUUCUGCUGAAGAAAAAUACUCAUGAACAUCUUGGGUGGCGUAAGGAUCUUUGCAGGAUUCAGUCGCAUAUCUCGGAUCUGAGUUCUGCGCAGCACUGGACACAGACUCUGCACUUUUGACAUUUUCUAGAAAAAGGAUUUUAAAUUUCACAUCAAGUUAAUUAAAAGUCAUCUGAUGUUUCCACUGCAGUACUUCAGGGCCUUUCAGUCAUCCUGGAGGAUGACCCACAGGAAUUUUACAGGAUGUGUUUCGAUGUGGAUGCAGACUUCAGUCAAGCAGUUGUAGACCUGCUCACAGUUCUACCAGAGGACAUGCCCUCAUUGUGGAUGCAAUAAAGGCAAUCAUGGAGGGAAGAAUUGUCAUGAAUGGGUUUUAAAGGCCUGUAUUUUAUUUUUGCUGUUCUGUUUGCAUGCCAUUCUGAAAAUGCUCUAUUGUUUAACAGUGUUCCAGUGGGUCCAGAUAAUGUUAUGACAACAAAGUGCUGUUUAGUUAAGAAGUCUGUAAAGAGUAUUAUAAGAACACAGAUGUUUU